Molecule: ribosomal RNA, 952 nt
Filed under: uncultured Mycoplasma sp.
Lineage: Bacteria; Bacillati; Mycoplasmatota; Mollicutes; Mycoplasmatales; Mycoplasmataceae
Description: bacterial SSU rRNA
Rfam family: Bacterial small subunit ribosomal RNA
Source: RNAcentral
GGAAGCAGCAGUGAGGAAUUUUUCACAAUGGACGAAAGUCUGAUGGAGCAUACUACGUGAACGAUGAAUGUCUUAUGAUUGUAAAGUUCUUUUAUUUGGGAAAAAAAGCAUGAUAGGAAAUGAUCAUGCCGUGAUUGUACUAAAUGAAUAAGUGACAGCUAACUAUGUGCCAGCAGCUGCGGUAAUACAUAGGUCACAAGCAUUAUCCGGAUUUAUUGGGCGUAAAGGAAGCGUAGGCGGAAGGAUUGAUCCGUUGUUAAAUUCACUUGCUCAACAAGUGGUCGCAAUGGAAAUCGUCUUUCUAGAAUUAGUUAGGGGGUACUGGAAUUCAAUGUGUAGCGGUGGAAUGCGUAGAUAUAUUGAGGAACACCAGAGGCUAAGGCGAGUACCUGGGACAUAAUUGACGCUGAGGCUUGAAAGCGUGGGGAGCAAAUGGGAUUAGAUACCCCAGUAGUCCACGCCGUAAACGAUGAGUAUUAAGUAUUUGGGGUUCUCCUGAGUGCUGUAGCUAACGCGUUAAAUACUCCGCCUGGGUAGUAUAUAUGCAAAUAUGAAACUCAAAGAAAUUGACGGGGACCUGAACAAGUGGUGGAGCAUGUUGCUUAAUUCGAUAAUACACGAAAAACCUUACCAAGGCUUGUAAUCUUCUGCUAAGCUGUAGAAAUACAGUGGAGUGUAUCAGAAUGACAGGUGGUGCAUGGCUGUCGUCAGCUCGUGUCUUGAGAUGUUUGGUUAAGUCCCGUAACGAGCGCAACCCUACUCAUUAGUUAAAUAGUUCUAAUGUGACUGAAUCGUAAGAUAUAGGAAGGAUGGGGCCAAGUCAAGUCAUCAUGCCCCUUAUGCCUUGGGCUGCAAACGUGCUACAAUGGUAGGUACAAUAUGUCGCAACCUAGUAAUAGGAAGCUAAUCACUAAAGCCUAUCUAGUCCGGAUAAAAGGCUGCAAUUCGCCUA